UUUCCCAACCUCUCUUCUCUUCUCUUCUCCUCCCCUCAUGGUUUCUUCUCUUAAUUUUCCCUUACCGUCGUCGCCGUCAACCCGAUGAUGCCCCUGUGACACCUUGUCACCUUCUCUCCCUCUGCCCUAGCAACGACAGUCGGCCGCCGCCCUUGUGCCGAGUUCUUCUCCUCUUCUCGCGUCGCCAUCUGUUCUGUUGCCCCGUCGAGCACCGGCGCAAGGACUUCUCCUCACCGGCACAAUCCACUGACCGGUCACCAGGUCCCUUCCCUCUGUGCCCUCCGUCGAACCACCGCUGUACAAUUUCGGCUGAUUUCCCGUGCCCUAGGUUGGGUUCACAACCGGCCACUCCCGAUCUCCUCUCGCCAGAAGCCGAGCAUCGCAAUCCACCGUCGAACCAGAUCCAUCGGUGCCUGUACUCUCUUCCUCCCCACUUCAGAUUUCCUCUUCCUCUCCUGAUCCAUCGCCACCGCUGGUUGUGAUUGGGGGAGGAGAACAAGUAUCAGGAGGGAAUCCCUAUUCCUUCACAGCAACAUUUAGGAUCUUCAUCGAAGGGUUGUGGGAUGGCAUGGAGAGCUUCCUCUUCAUCAAAGCAGCCACUGGAUCCUUCACGGAGUGGCUACAUAUUUGGAUUGGGCUUCAGUUAUUCCUAUUGAGGGCGAUCCUCAGAUCAGGUCACUGUUUUUCUGAUCGCGAAUCCCUCUGGUCGUGAGCCAUCAGUGAACAUUAUCGGAUAGAUUGUCAAAACAUUCAAGGUGCAUCAAAUAACCAAAUAGAUGAAGCUUCAAAUCAGCAACACAAUGAUGUACAAGGAAUGAUCCUUAAAAGUAAAAAUAAUGGGAAACCUCAUUUUCAACUUCAAGACGGGGCAAAUACUCAACCACAGAUUUUGAUUGGCAAUUACACAACUCUAAACUCAAAAAAAAAAGACUGUCAAAACAUUCAAGGUGCAUCAAAUAACCAAAUAGAUGAAGAUUCAAAUCAGAAAGACAUUGAGUUACAAGCUUCAAAUCAUAUUGUUGAAAAUAAUUUUAUGGAUGAAGAAUUUGAUCGAGACAGAGAAAGUGAAUCUCCUGAUGCUAAGAAGAAAAUUAGAGGCCCUACAUUUAUGAAUGACAUUUGGGGUUGACCGAGUACGCUGCCACGUAUUAAGAUCCAAUGUGAUGGUAUGGCACGUCCUAUAGGAUCCAUCACGAGUUGAAUUAUUCCAUGCUUGCUUCACUAAAGGUUGACAGUUGGAUUACUUUCUAAUCCAGUUAGUUUAUCUCUAAAGGUAAAGUCUUUAUCUAGUUUUAUUACUUUAUUAUUAUAUUGAGUUAGUACUUUGUUGAUUCGGCAUGGUCUUGGGGUUAAGAAUAUAAGUUAGAUGCGUAAAUGAUUUUUUGUUGUUUAUUUUGAUAUUAUUUAUUAUUUGAUGAGCCAUAAUGAGUUGGAGUUUGCUUUCUUGUAAGCUACUGAUGUGGUUUGUGUGAGAUUAUAGUUAUUUUGAGUUAGCCAUUUAUUAAUGUUUUGUAAGCUAUGUUUUUGUGUGAGAU
Molecule: long non-coding RNA, 1535 nt
Organism: Zingiber officinale
Lineage: Eukaryota; Viridiplantae; Streptophyta; Magnoliopsida; Zingiberales; Zingiberaceae
Exons: 6
Source: RefSeq, a predicted model, not a curated record